This 253-nucleotide ribosomal RNA is filed under the name uncultured prokaryote. Its description in RNAcentral is "partial 16S ribosomal RNA". It matches the Rfam family "Bacterial small subunit ribosomal RNA", at positions 524 to 776 of the family's 1533-position model. The record is from RNAcentral.
GACGAACCUUGCUAACGUUAUUCGGAAUUACUGGGCGUAAAGGGCUCGUAGGCGGCCAACUAAGUCAGACGUGAAAUCCCUCGGCUUAACCGGGGAACUGCGUCUGAUACUGGAUGGCUUGGAUUUGGGAGAGGGAUGCGGAAUUCCAGGUGUAGCGGUGAAAUGCGUAGAUAUCUGGAGGAACACCGGUGGCGAAGGCGGCAUCCUGGACCAACAUUGACGCUGAGGAGCGAAAGCCAGGGGAGCAAACGGG